AUUGGGUGCCUACCUCUCUAUCCAGCCACACAAACACAACCAACCUUAUCGUCCUCUUUUUUCUGCGUUCUGUGAGUCGAUCUGUGACUUCUGUCUCUCCUCUCCUCUCCUCUCCUCAAUUCUCAUCGACCAAUCGACAAUCCAGCCACUCAGAUUACAGAGGUCUUAUUUGAAGUCUUAUUUGCGAUCAACCUUGUCACAAGAAAGGCUAAAUGGACUUGCUUUGAUUUCGAUUGAGAACGAUUAUCUUGGAAAAAUCAAUUGUGAUAAGCUAAUUGAUCAGUUUGCAGCUUGGAGGGCCGCAUCUUAAACUUUCGCACAGGGCCUCCAAAAAGUUUGAGACGGCUCUGUAUCUAUUCUUCUCACAUCUGGAGGUAUAUAAAGAGAGAUACAAUAAUACAAUUGACUUACGUCUCUGUUCUCCACCACACACAGAACAGGAAUUACUGUCAUCAAAGAGCAAUGAACGGUAGCAAAACUCUACACUGCAAAUUGGGAUCGAUUGUUCACUUGCUGCUCUGCUAUUGAUGAAGAUGAAUAAAGUGCAAAUUACAUGGACAUAUUGGCUCCAUACAUCCAGAGCUACUGGUCGAUAGCUGUCGGCUUUCAAUGAAGGUACAUGACCUCCAGAAUCCAGGAGUCAAGGAAUGGUUGAUUAAUUACAAGCUUAAUAAUGUAAAACACUUUUUUGAGCAGAAGAUGUGAACGACAUAUGUUUGAUGUAGAGCAAGUAUAACCUUUGGAUGUCAUACCAAAUUAGAGUAUGCCACUCAAAAUCAAUUAAGUGAGAAGAAAGAACAUGAAACUUACGCCAAUUUCAAAGUUUUGUUUUUCUAAACACAAGUCGAAGUACAAAACUAGCCGUUAUGAUACUUCCUUAUAAACCAGGAUGUAGUCCCUUCAUUUGUAUACCAAAUUCCUCAAAAUAGUCAUAUUCAUUGCACGAUAAUUACUGCUAUGUGUUGUAAACAUUUAAUCCUAUUUACGACUAACUAUAUCAGUCAAAGAACCAUGACGCCCAUUUUCCUGAAUCCUCCUGGCUCCUCCCUUUAUAAAGAUCAUAAUCUAAGCCAAAACAUACACACACAAAAGCCAAAAGGGCAGAGGAAACAAAAACCUCACAGGUCACAACUCCCCUACUACUUCAAAAUGUCAUCAUCUUCAAGAAUCCUUCUUUGCUUGUUCUUAGUGUUGCUCACUACUAGUCUACAGCACACAGAAGCAACCUUUGAGUCUUCACUGAGUGUUGACGAAGGACCUUGGGGUAAUGUUAGCUGCGUUUGGGGGGGCUUUUUAGCUUCCCCGCUUAUAAGCAACAACACCCAAAGUGUUUGGUAACUUGGCUUCUUGGCAGCUUUUCCCAGAAGCCGCUGCUUUUUUUGUUGAAAAGCAGAAGUCGGUUGAGCCCAGCUUUUAGAAGCCAGUAGCCAUCAACGGUACUGUAGCGGUAAAAAAUGUUCAUUAAUGACUCUUUCGUAAUACCAUCUCCUACCCUCCCUUCAAGGAAGAAACUACACGCAGCCAUGGAAGACUCUUGACACAGAUGACGCUCUUCUCUUCAGAGUUCUGACGCACUCGAAUCUCUCUCUGGCCUCUCUUUCUUCUAUCUUCAUCAAUCAACAACUUGAUUCCGAGUUCGAAAUCGAAGUCUCAAUCAAGGCACGCAGUUGCAAUUUGAUUCAGGGGAAUUGAUGAGCUUGUUGUUCAUAAUCUAGUAGAGAGACAUUUCAUACGGUCACAUGUAUUCUCUUCAAAGCCAGGAGGUUGUGCAGCAUUUCUCUCAAACUACAAUGCAAACUCAGCUGCAACGGUAACUUUCAAUGACCGAAACUAUGAGCUCCUUGCUUGGUCCAUCAGCGUCCUUCCAGACUGUGAAAAUGUUGUAUUCGACACUACCAAAGUGGGAGUUCAGACAUCCCAAAAACAAUUUUUUCCCACUAACUCUGAGUUGUGGUCAUGGGAAACCUUCAGUGAAGACAUUGCUUCAUGGACUGGUGAUACAACUCUCACAGUCAUUGGUUUCUUAGAUCAGUUGAACAUCACUAGAGACUCUAGUGAUUAUCUAUGGUACACCAUCAGGUAAAUGGUCACCUGGGUCUACUUAAAAAACUAUGCCCCUAUGAUGUUCUGCAAGACCAGAGAUUUACUUUUACAGGAGAUGUAAACAUGCAUGCUGGUAUGAAUAAAAUUUCACUUCUAAGUGUAGCUGUUGGAUUACCGGUUAGUUCUUUGAUUUGCAUUUUUCACUAACUUUCAAUAUUUCAUGUACCAAUACAAAGUUCGUGUUGAUAACUUGAUAUUAUACUGCAGGUCCCUAUAAUUGACUUGGUUAAUUUGGUAAAGUUUGUACUCGAGUAAAUUACAUGGCUUAAAAAUAAGUAAUCAAUGUAAUAAAAAAACUUCUUGUGGUGUCUUUAUAUAAAUAACUAAAUCAGGAUCUGGAUAUGGGAUUUGGAAGACUAUAUGAAUAGAUAGGUUCACUUUUGUGAUGUAAAGUAAAGUGGAGGAUACACUAGGGAGCAUGUAGACCAGAUGUGCUUUUGUGAUUUGAAUAAUUAGAAUUUUCGAUAUUCAUACAAAGAUGUGGCUACUUGACUUGGAUUAAAAGUUUUUGAUUUGGUGUUUACAUUAUUAUACCUUCGCAAUGAAUCCCAAACUCCCAAGUAGUCACAUUCUUGGCCAUAUUUCAUGACUUUAGUCCAAUGGUAACUGAACUACUUCCUGUUGAUUUUGUGAUCUUUGAGUCCUGAGCAGAAGGUGCAAAUAAUAGAAGAAGAAUCAGAAAUUCAAGAAUCUCCAAACUGAAGAGAGUGGGUCUUUCUUCGGCCUUGAUGAUGUCAACAUGUAUAAGGUUUAUUCAUCCUUGCAUUCAGUUCUUAUCAUUAAUAGUUGGAGACAGCGUCAGGAAACCCUUGAAGGUGUAAGGGUGGUAUGUUUAGGUGCUGGGUUUGUAAGGAAGAUGCUGUAAGUUUUGACUACAGCAGCCACUGCUGGUGCCCUUCAAGUUUGAAAAUAGCAAUACUCAAAGUUUGAUGAAUGUGGACAUUUGAAUAUGUUAUGAUAUUUUUUGUGGUUACUUGAUGCGAA
Molecule: long non-coding RNA, 3087 nt
Organism: Rosa chinensis
Lineage: Eukaryota; Viridiplantae; Streptophyta; Magnoliopsida; Rosales; Rosaceae
Exons: 9
Source: RefSeq, a predicted model, not a curated record